This 1408-nucleotide long non-coding RNA is filed under the name Oncorhynchus kisutch (coho salmon). RNAcentral's name for it is "lncRNA (ENSOKIG00005015159.1)". The record is from RNAcentral. Lineage: Eukaryota; Metazoa; Chordata; Actinopteri; Salmoniformes; Salmonidae.
UGGCAUUGCUGAACUCUAUCCUACCAUCACUGUCCAACGGCACACAGGCUGCUGUCCAGCAUCAAAUAAUCAUCCCUCUCAGAGAAUCAACUCCACUACGUUGCUAUAGGAACAACAGCUUCUUCAUGUUCCUGAGACAAUAUUUCCUCAACUUUACAUUCCUUAAGUUGACCAACUUCCUCUCCCUUAUUCCACCACAGCGGGAAUCUGAGGUACAGUGCAUUGAACUUGUUUCAGCUGCACUUCAACUUUUGGAAAGUGUGUUCUGGCCUCGAGUCACUGUGUAUCCUAUGCUAUCUGUUUUUCCAGCUGCUCAACACCAUGCAUCCCUCAGAGCUCAGCACCAUCCUCAGGAAGAUUGUGCAGACUAAUCUCUGCACAAUCUUCCGAAACUACAAAAAACAAAAUAACUCCAGAGUUCUGGAAACCAUAAGGACACACACUGCUGAUUGUGGUCACCAUUUUCAAGCACUCACUGAGUAUCCCUUUCUUAGGAUUUACUGAAAGAAAAAACUCUGUUAAAUGGUGCAUUCUCAGUCCUUUGACUUUGAUCAUUAUCUGUCUGUAUGAGAAUCUUCCACAUGAUGUGAAGCGUCCAGUCCUGCCCUGCGUCUGGCCUUUGGCUCUGGCCACUGAUGACAAGGCUGAGGUUGACCGCUGGUUUGACAACAGACUGAGGAACUACCUGAAGUUCCUCAACAGAAACCUGCUCCAGUCCUCUGACACACUCAACGCCUCCUGCUUACCCUUCAGGAGACUGUAAGCUACCACACUGGAAAUACCUUACAUUUGCUGAUGCUAUUACACAGAUAUAUCUACAUCAUUUAAAGUGAAGAAAAGGAAGAAAAGGUUGAUGACUGUCUGCUGUGGUUUUGACAGUGUGUAUCUACUGGGAUCCAAGCUCACUUUCAAUGGCUCAGCCAUAACUCAAGAUGAUGCGUACAGCACCAUAAAUACCUACCUCAACACAGGAAGUUCAGCAGCACCCAAGUGUUAUAGUCCCUCUGACCCAAAUCUCAACUCCACCGCCUGGUUCCUUAACUACAUUGGUGUGUUCAUCACCUUUGUGACCAUUGAAGACUUCAACACAUUUGGCUCAGAGUCAACGCUAAAACUAUUUGCCGUGAACCCUGUCAACAUUGAGUUGUUCAAUUUCGCUGGAGCUCCUCAAAAUCUGACUAAACACUUUACUGAGCUUAUCUUCCUGCAGAACUCCAACUUCCUCCCACUGCAGCUUCCACCACACUUACAAUGUUUUGUCCCAGCUUCAGCUUACUCUAAGCUCAAUGAGUCAGCGAGUGUGGUUGUCCUGGGCAACCUGAACCAAUCCUGUACUAACGUGGACUCAGAGGUGAGCACCAUCAGGAUCAGUAUGAGCCAUUAUUUCCAUGUGAUCAUAAUCCAUUGA